RNAcentral lists this ribosomal RNA (253 nucleotides) under uncultured bacterium. Its description in RNAcentral is "partial 16S ribosomal RNA". It matches the Rfam family "Bacterial small subunit ribosomal RNA", at positions 524 to 776 of the family's 1533-position model. The record is from RNAcentral.
UACGAAGGGUGCAAACGUUGCUCGGAAUUAUUGGGCGUAAAGCGCACGUAGGCGGCAUUGCAAGCCGGAUGUGAAAUCCCUCGGCUUAACCAAGGAAGUGCAUCCGAAACUGCAGUGCUUGAGUACUUAAGAGGAUCGCGGAAUUCCCGGUGUAGAGGUGAAAUUCGUAGAUAUCGGGAGGAACACCAGUGGCGAAGGCGGCGAUCUGGGAAGAUACUGACGCUGAGGUGCGAAAGCGUGGGGAGCAAACAGG